CGGACGGGUGAGUAACGCGUGGGAACGUGCCUUCUGGUCUGGAAUAACCCUGGGAAACUAGGGCUAAUACCGGAUACGCCCUUUUGGGGAAAGGUUUACUGCCGGAAGAUCGGCCCGCGUCUGAUUAGCUAGUUGGUGGGGUAACGGCCUACCAAGGCGACGAUCAGUAGCUGGUCUGAGAGGAUGAUCAGCCACACUGGGACUGAGACACGGCCCAGACUCCUACGGGAGGCAGCAGUGGGGAAUAUUGGACAAUGGGCGCAAGCCUGAUCCAGCCAUGCCGCGUGAGUGAUGAAGGCCUUAGGGUUGUAAAGCUCUUUUAUCCGGGACGAUAAUGACGGUACCGGAGGAAUAAGCCCCGGCUAACUUCGUGCCAGCAGCCGCGGUAAUACGAAGGGGGCUAGCGUUGCUCGGAAUCACUGGGCGUAAAGGGCGCGUAGGCGGCGUUUUAAGUCGGGGGUGAAAGCCUGUGGCUCAACCACAGAAUGGCCUUCGAUACU
This 500-nucleotide ribosomal RNA is filed under the name Methylobacterium longum. RNAcentral describes it as "bacterial SSU rRNA". It matches the Rfam family "Bacterial small subunit ribosomal RNA", at positions 99 to 634 of the family's 1533-position model. Lineage: Bacteria; Pseudomonadati; Pseudomonadota; Alphaproteobacteria; Hyphomicrobiales; Methylobacteriaceae. The record is from RNAcentral.